GACGAACGCUGGCGGCGUGCCUAAUACAUGCAAGUCGAGCGGAACUUUUAUUGGUGCUUGCACCUUUGAAAGUUUAGCGGCGGACGGGUGAGUAACACGUGGGUAACCUACCCUGUAGAUUGGGAUAACUCCGGGAAACCGGGGCUAAUACCGAAUAAUACCUUUCUUCUCAUGGAGAAUGGUUGAAAGUUGGUUUCGGCUAACACUACAGGAUGGGCCCGCGGCGCAUUAGCUAGUUGGUGAGGUAACGGCUCACCAAGGCAACGAUGCGUAGCCGACCUGAGAGGGUGAUCGGCCACACUGGGACUGAGACACGGCCCAGACUCCUACGGGAGGCAGCAGUAGGGAAUCUUCCACAAUGGACGAAAGUCUGAUGGAGCAACGCCGCGUGAGUGAUGAAGGAUUUCGGUUCGUAAAACUCUGUUGUAAGGGAAGAACAAGUAGCGUAGUAACUGGCGUUACCUUGACGGUACCUUAUUAGAAAGCCACGGCUAACUACGUGCCAGCCGCCGCAGUAAAAC
Molecule: ribosomal RNA, 521 nt
Filed under: uncultured bacterium
Lineage: Bacteria
Description: bacterial SSU rRNA
Rfam family: Bacterial small subunit ribosomal RNA
Source: RNAcentral